RNAcentral lists this ribosomal RNA (205 nucleotides) under uncultured bacterium. RNAcentral's name for it is "partial 16S ribosomal RNA". It matches the Rfam family "Bacterial small subunit ribosomal RNA", at positions 338 to 534 of the family's 1533-position model. The record is from RNAcentral.
CCUACGGGAGGCAGCAGUAGGGAAUCUUCGGCAAUGGACGAAAGUCUGACCGAGCAACGCCGCGUGAGUGAAGAAGGUUUUCGGAUCGUAAAACUCUGUUGGUAGAGAAGAACGUUGGUGAGAGUGGAAAGCUCAUCAAGUGACGGUAACUACCCAGAAAGGGACGGCUAACUACGUGCCAGCAGCCGCGGUAAUACGUAGGUCC